Molecule: long non-coding RNA, 1094 nt
Filed under: Trifolium pratense (red clover)
Lineage: Eukaryota; Viridiplantae; Streptophyta; Magnoliopsida; Fabales; Fabaceae
Description: long non-coding RNA (TPRA_LNC009134)
Source: RNAcentral
CUCUAUUUGUCACAUUGGUCCUUUCCGUUAAUUUAUCAACCACAAAUAUAUUAGGUGGAUCAACAUUGAAGGUGGUCCACCAUAUACUACAAUAUAUUUUUAAUUUUAACCAUUGGAUCUUUUGAAAGAGAAACAACCAUUAGAUUUUGCAUGUUCACAGAAUCUAACAGUGCACCAUCACCAACUAAGUUUUGUUUCUAUUUUUUCAUCUUCUUCGCUCAACUCCUUCAUCUUCAUCUUCAUCAUCUUCUUCAUGAUAUUCAUAAAAAAGCCAAAAAAAAUUCUUCAAAAUCCAGAAUUUCAUUAUUGAAUUACAAAAGGUUGGAUUUUUGUUCAUCUUAAUUAUUCUUCAUCUCUCUUUCUCUAGUACAACAAUUAAAAAGGGGCAAAAUAAUCCUAGUUCAUUCAAAAGCAAUAUCAUGGAAAAAAUUAAACAACAAGAACACCACCACCACCAUGCUAAUUCGAACAAAAACAACACUAAGAAAGUAGCUUAAUUUUCACAACAACAACACUGUGAAUCAUUNNNNNNNNNNNNUAUGGUGAUGAUGGUGUGGAUGGUGGUAGUGGUGAAAUUGAUAUGUUAACAUUUUCUGGCCAUUCUCAAAGUGGGAAAAGGAGUGAAAUUGAUAUGUUAACAUUUUCUGGCCAUUCUCUUUUAUUGUAUUUCAUCAGAUCGGAUUUCUUUAAGUGUUUUAUUUUCGGAUUGAAAUUUCUGAGUUUUUGUUUCAAUUUAAGAAAUUGUUGUUGAAGAUGAAGAACAAUGGAAGAAAGAAGAUGAUGAAAAGCAAAAACAAGAUUAAGUGUUGGUGGUACACCAUUAGAUACAAUAGACCUACAAAAUCUNNNNNNNNNNNNNNNNNNNNNNNNNNUAUCAAAUGGUUAAAAUUUAAAAAAUUAAGGAGGUCUUUGGUGAACCACUUAUAUUGUACGACAUAUUUGUUGAAACUAACGGUUUUUGAAAAAAAUUGACGGAAGGGACCAAUGUGACAAACGGAAAUGUCUUUAAGGGACUAAUCCGAACCUUUUUUUUCUUUAAGGGACCAUUGUGAAACCUCAAAUAUCUUUAAGGGACCAAAGAACUAAUUAAGCCU